Sander lucioperca (pikeperch) is the source of this 961-nucleotide long non-coding RNA. RefSeq lists it as uncharacterized. The transcript is spliced from 3 exons. The record is from RefSeq and is a predicted model, not a curated record. NCBI's taxonomy places the organism in Eukaryota, Metazoa, Chordata, Actinopteri, Perciformes, Percidae.
AACCACCUGUGUACAUACCUAUAUGCUCAAGUGAGUGUUAUACUGUUUGUGAACAAACCAAUGGAAUACAGAUUUGCAUUGUGUUUUAGCUAACAUCUGUGAAAUUGAAAAGUUACUUUCUCUUAAACUUUGAAGAUAAACUUUCCUCUAAACCUUGAAUCUGGCACAGACGCAUGAAUGCAAAAGCUCUGAUGAGAGUUUUCAUCCUCUUAGACUCGGUCCAAUUACCAUCAACAUUACACUGUCUGCCAGUGAAAAAGAUAACAGAAAGAAAAUAACAUCCUCGCUCAAUCUCUACUUGGCAUCUGACAAGCAAAGUGGCUUUCCCGUUGAUGUGUUUAAUUCUUCUGAGAGAGCGGGAUGCAGAAAAAUUAAACCGCACGAGUGAAAUAGAUGGGAAACGAUAGAUGAGAAGAGGUAGAGGGUGAUAGUUAGAUAGGAUUGUUAUCAGCGUGUGAGCAGUUUUGGUUCUUUGUGCAUGUCUACCUCAUUAACAUUCUCCUGUAUGUAACACUGUGUCUCUGCCAUCCCAUUCUUUUUGGCUGCUGAAGUCUUUUUUGUUCUUGUGUAUAAAAAAUGCAGCACAUGUGAGGGAUGCUGUAAUGAGAAUUAAAAUCAGUAUCAGCUUUAAUGGCCAAGUAAAUGUGAACACAUACAAGGAAUUUUCAUCUGGCUUAUUGUUGCUCUCUAUGUACAUACACAGAAAUAGACAUAUGACUAAAACAAGGACAACAAAGCUGAACAAGGUAAACAUAAACAUUUGACUAAUAUGUACAGAUAUAAGGAUGUCACAUUCAUAUGCAUUCACAUGUAGACAAAAACACUGUGAGGAUUGUAACCAGUAGUACAAUAGUGCAAUGCAAAAGUGCAAAUGGUGCUGGAAUAAAAAAAGAAUUAUUAAUAUAACGGGUUGCAUAUAUAUCUGAGGUAGGUGGAUAUGACAUGCUUUGCUAAAGCUAUG